Molecule: long non-coding RNA, 2951 nt
Organism: Episyrphus balteatus (marmalade hoverfly)
Lineage: Eukaryota; Metazoa; Arthropoda; Insecta; Diptera; Syrphidae
Exons: 2
Source: RefSeq, a predicted model, not a curated record
GUACUAACGCUGAUAAAGAAACAGAUCAAAGAAUCACUCAAAACCAUUUAGUAUCAAGUUCAAAGAAAAUCACUUUAUCCAUUGAUGAGGAAGCCUAUCAUAGAUUCAUACAAACAGAAAAUAAUAUUAAGAGUUCAAUGUUGCCCCCUCCUCUAUUAUCAAAAUAUCAUUAAAUUUCCUUCUUAUUACGCGAGAAAAAUGAUUAAUGCGUUUAAAAAAAAAAUCCUAAAUCAGUUGGAGGCUAUUUUUAUUAAAACUAUCAAACUAAUAAAAAUACUGGAAAUACUGAAAACGAAAAAAAAAUAAACAACUUAAAAUCGCCCCAGCCUUAGAGCAAACAUCAACCCCACAUAUACCUGGGGCCAUGAAUGACACUGCUAUAUACGAGUAGACAUUGUAAACUAAAUGAAAAAUUAACACUUCAUCCUGGGAGUCAACUCCACUCGGCAUAGACACACUGAUAGUUGCAUUUGUAUACAGGCAUCGUAAAAUGUCACCAAUUUGCUAGAAAGGUCGUUUGGCAUUAGUUCCAGUUGCACCCCCAACUUUCUCGCUCGCUCUCCCUAUCUCACUCUCUUGCGUUUUGCUCUUGCUGUUGCUCUCCCUGUCUCUUAUAUUGCCAAGGGGUUGCUUUUGCCUAGUUGCUGCUGUUUUUUUCUGCAACAGACGACGACACACAUAUUUGACUUUCUGGUGCGGUUGAACUCGUUUUACACGAAACAUAUGCAUGUACUCAAUUCAUCGGGGACACAACCAGGCACUAAAAAGCUCUAUCAAAAAAUUGAACAUGCGCCUUUCCACGAAACUCUCUUAUAUUUUUCAAAAAAUCAAAGCUUUUCUUUCAAUGAAAAAUUGGAACUCUUAUACUGGCGCCGGGGAGACGACCACACAAUAUUCAGAGUUCCGAGAUAGAAAAUGUAGAAUGAAAAAUUUUUUUAAACGUUCAAAAGCAGCUCUUGGUGUUGUAGUGUUUUCAGUUAUCCAGUCAGUUGCUGUGCAGCCUGCACCCUGCCAAAACCAGGACGACAGGUUGAGACACAAAAAAGCUAUACAUUCCGAGGGUUUCCAUAUUUUUUCAAGGAGAAAAAUAACAACCGAACUGAAUUGAACAACCGAAGGAAAGAGAAAGAGGAACAUGAUAAAAGUGCGCCCGCGCCCUUACCACAAAACAGCACACAUUUCAGCCCUCAUUUCACCGGCAACGUUCCACGGCACACACAAUGUGUUCUCGGUCGUUGUAGCUGCUGCUGCUGCUUCUACUGUUUCUGCUGUUCCUGCUGCUUCUGCUGGUACUUGUGCUGGAAUUUUGUGGCCUCUUAUCGCCCCAGGCUGGAGUUCAUUCAAAUAGAACCGCACAGCUGAGUUUUCAUUUAGUCGGUCGCAAGUUCUCGGAGUGAGUUGAACGUCGCUCGCAUACCACCAGGAAUAUAAAUUCCAUCAAAUAUCCUCCUCCUGGUAUAAUUUUCUUCAAAAAAAAAAAAACAAAAUCCAAAAAAAUAUAAAGAAAAAAAUAGGACUUGUGAAUCUUUGAACAGUGUUUGUUCUUCUUCCCAGCUAGUGAAAUGGAGGAUAAAAAAAAAAAAAUUAUAAAAGAACUCUCAGAACUCAGAACAAAAGGAUAGACGAACAAAAAAAAGGAAAGAUUCUGGAGAACCACUAGAGUCAUCAGCAUAAUCCUUCAGUUGAUCUGACUCCGCAAGAGACUUUCAUCACCGCAUACAGCAAGGUAUAGCGCACCGGGGAGCACUAGUGAUAUGUUUUUGAGGAUGACAUGUCACAAGGACCUUCUUCGUUUUUAUAUUUUUUGUGUGUGUCCCUGUCAUCAUGGGUUAAGUAGUCGAAGCUGCUUCUAGUGUGGUUGGCUUUGAAACUGCAAAGUGGGAGCUAAAUAAAAUCCCCAUCAUGGGCUGAGAGAUGUAGAGCCAAACAUCCCCCUCGCAUAUCGCAUAAAGGUGGGCAUGACUGCGUGUAAAAUUACAAGGAUCACAGAGAUAGAUUUUUCCAUCUGUCUUCAAAGAGCCCAGGUCUCACCGAGGACGAAGAGAAACUGUGACAUAACUAUUAAACUAGUCCCCGUUGUGUGCCAUAAACUUCAUGACGACAACCAACGAACAAAACCCUAGACUCUUCGACCCGAAUCCAACAAACCCAACAUCGCCAUAGCCAUACCCAACGCCAAUGAGACUUUUACCCAACCAACACUGAAUUAAUGUUAAUUACUUUCAAUUAAAAAAGUUCCUCACGAGACGUUGUUCGUUUUAUUAUACACACACUCACAUACAUUUAUGCGAUCUAUGACCAUUUUUUUUGUAUUCUUGUGUGUUUAACUGUAAAGUGUUAAAGUUUAAGUGUUCGUGCUGAGUUCAAACUUUCUCCUAUAUAAUAUACCAACUCCUUAAUUUUUUAUAUGCCGAACUAUGGAACUAUAAAGUUCUAUUUUUUUUGUAAAAAAGAAGAGAAAAAAAAAAGACGAAAUCAUCGGCAGUUUUUCUUGCUAGAAAUAUUAAUGAGUCGGGUUUAUUUUGUGAAAUUUAUGGACCGAAAGUGCAGUAAACGAGUAAUUUUUGUUUUUUUUUUCUGUUCAAAAAGAAGACGAAAUUUUCUCAAAGAAGGAAAAUAAAUUCUUCAAUUGAUUAACGUAGAUUUUUAUCAAUUUUUUUUUUAUUGGAGAUGAAGUUGAAAUCUUUGUGUAACAAGAGAAGACGAGAGAGAGAUUUUUGUUGGCGAAGUUUAGUACUGAGAAAAAUGUUAUAUCCGUAAAUCCUUCCUAUUUUUUUGGUUGGUCUUUUUUUUUUUUGUUGGAAAAUGACACUAAGUGAAAAAGUUUGUUUUACUGCGCCAAGUGCAAUUGAGAGACAGAAAACUAUGUUUGGUCGAUUGAUCCGGGCAAAGAUGAAAAUCGAGGUAAGUUGCUGACUAAAUUUCUAUAACCUCUAAACCUGAGUAAGUAA